RNAcentral lists this transfer RNA (69 nucleotides) under Scydosella musawasensis. RNAcentral describes it as "tRNA-Gln". Lineage: Eukaryota; Metazoa; Arthropoda; Insecta; Coleoptera; Ptiliidae. The record is from RNAcentral.
UACAUUUUAAUAUAUGAAGUAUAAAAAUUUUUGAUGUUUUUUGAAAUAGUUUGAUUCUAUUAAAUGUAU